GAAUGAAUGUAGAGUCGGUUGUCGCUGGUCCCUUCGGGGGCAUGUGCACGCCUUCUCUUUCAUCCACACACACCUGUGCACUCGGUCUGCUCUACAUAAAUUCAUAUCUAUAAUUCGAAUGUAAUUGAUGUAACACAUCUUUAAACUAAGUUUCAACAACAGAUCUCUUGGCUCU
This 175-nucleotide unclassified non-coding RNA is filed under the name rhizosphere metagenome. RNAcentral's name for it is "partial ribosomal RNA internal transcribed spacer region". The record is from RNAcentral.